Molecule: microRNA precursor, 96 nt
Organism: Pelodiscus sinensis (Chinese soft-shelled turtle)
Lineage: Eukaryota; Metazoa; Chordata; Testudines; Trionychidae
Source: Ensembl
ACUCCUCGGGGAAGGCAAUAGAUUGUAUAGUUAUCUCCUGACAGGGUAAAAUAACUACCCCACAACUAUACAAUCUACUACCUCACUCCGCUAGAG